This 398-nucleotide ribosomal RNA is filed under the name uncultured bacterium. RNAcentral describes it as "bacterial SSU rRNA". It matches the Rfam family "Bacterial small subunit ribosomal RNA", at positions 28 to 428 of the family's 1533-position model. The record is from RNAcentral.
GACGAACGCUGGCGGCGUGCUUAACACAUGCAAGUCGAACGGUGAACCCCCUUCGGGGGGGAUCAGUGGCGAACGGGUGAGUAACACGUGAGCAACCUGCCCCUGACUCUGGGAUAACCCCCGGGAAACCCGGAGCUAAUACCGGAUAUGACACGCUCGGGCAUCCGAUGCGUGUGGAAAGAUUUAUCGGUUGGGGAUGGGCUCGCGGCCUAUCAGCUUGUUGGUGGGGUAACGGCCUACCAAGGCGACGACGGGANCCGGCCUGAGAGGGCGACCGGCCACACUGGGACUGAGACACGGCCCAGACUCCUACGGGAGGCAGCAGUGGGGAAUAUUGCGCAAUGGGCGAAAGCCUGACGCAGCGACGCCGCGUGAGGGAUGAAGGCCUUCGGUUGUAA